Araneus ventricosus is the source of this 72-nucleotide non-coding RNA. NCBI's taxonomy places the organism in Eukaryota, Metazoa, Arthropoda, Arachnida, Araneae, Araneidae. The record is from the annotation of a GenBank genome assembly.
UGCCCAUGGGGGAGCGAACCCACAAGCUUCGCGUUAUGAGCGCGACGCUCUAACCAACUGAACUAAUGGGUC